Arachis ipaensis is the source of this 3755-nucleotide RNA transcript. RefSeq lists it as uncharacterized. The record is from RefSeq and is a predicted model, not a curated record. NCBI's taxonomy places the organism in Eukaryota, Viridiplantae, Streptophyta, Magnoliopsida, Fabales, Fabaceae.
AUCAUCAUCUCAGUAGGUGCAUCAGCUUCCACGCCAUUUGCGCUAUAACGGUUAGCAAGUAGCAACGAAGCUUCGAGAGAGAGAAAGAAAGAGUUGGGUUUUCAGUUCAGUAGGGUUUCGCUAUCUACAUAGUACAUACCAGAGACACACACAGCGAAGAACCAUCAUCGCUUCUGACUCCCACUGGUUGAUAAAUAGCAGUUGGUUGGAACAAUAAGAGAGACAAUCCAAGUAACAGAAGGUUGGAAGAGGGAUGAAAAGAUAUAGAAUAGUUUACAAGUAAAAAAGAAGAGGAAAGAAUGGAUACUAGCAACAAUAUUGUUGCUAUUGUGUAUUUUGAUGGUUCCAUUAGUACAGCCACAAAUGAAGGUGUGACAUUUAUAUGUGAUGAACCAACAUUUUUCACAAUUUCCCAAACCAUGUCCUUCGUGGAACUAAACGCUGGUCUUUGUCAAGAUAUAAAUGGCGGCAGUAAAAGGGAAGUGGUGAAAAUAAAAUACAGGUGUCCAAUAUCAAUUGUUAAUGGAAAUAUAAAAUAUCAAGCAGUUAAAAUAAGCAGUGACAAUGAUAUGAGACUACUGUGUAUGACAUAUAGACAGUUUCAACCACACAUUACUGUCAUUGAGCUAUAUGUAGAGUUUGAAGAUGUUGCUAAAGCCAAUGACGAUGGAGCUGGUCCCAGUUCAUGUCCGGUCAAAGAGCAGUGCGAUGAAGAAGUUCCGACACCAUGUCCAGCUAAUCAGCAGUGCAAUGAAACAGUUUUGAGAUCAUGUUCAGCUAACAAGCAGUGCGAUGAAACAGUUCCGUGUUUAUCUCCAGCUAACCAUCAGUGUGAUGAAACAGUUCCUAGUUCAUAUCCACAACUUGAAGAAGUUAAGCCAAGCCCAUUUCCAAUAAGAGGUACAGAGUGUGAAAUUAACAAUAGUGAAAGUGAUACUUUCUUAGAACAAGAACAUAGAAGUGGUGGCAAUGGUGCAGAUGAUACUGAUGGUUGUGAAGAUGAGGAGAAUGUACCAAAUAGAGUGGCUAUUGAGCAUCCAUUCGAGCCUGUACCAUUCAUGCGUACUUUAGAUCUUGAAGCUAUGCAUGCCCCUGAGUUUCCACAGUAUGUAAAUGUGAGUAAGAAUUAUGCUGCAAAUGGUGAAUUGUGUGUUGGAAUGCUAUUCAAGAAUAAAGAGGGUGUAGUACAAGCAAUUAAAAAUUACAGUUUAUCUAAAUCAGUGGAUUACAAAGUUCACGAGUCAGAACCAGCAACUUUUUAUUGCAAGUGCAAGUACUUUGGUUCAGGGUGCAAAUGGCUUGUUAGGGUCAGUUUCAUAAAGAAUAAGGAUGUUUGGGAAAUCAGGAGAUACAAUGGACCACACACCUGUAACUUGGAGAUGGCCUCUCAAGACCAUACAAAGUUGGAUUCUGACAUGAUUGCACAACAUAUAGGGCCUAUGGUCCGAGAUGAUCCAUCUUUCAAUGUAAAUCAUGUGAUUUCAGAGAUUCAAUCUUGGUAUGGAUACACAACAACAUACCGUAAAGCAUAUCUGGCAAAACAAAAGGCAAUUGAAAAUAUUUAUGGUAGUUGGGAGGGCUCAUUUGAAAUUCUGCCGAAAUGGUUGGAAGCAUUGUCUCUUAUUGUUCACGGUUCAAUUGUUGAACUUGAAACACUACCAGCCUACCAUGGCACUGAGCUGUUGCCGAAUGUUCGAUUAUUCCAUCGAUUGUUUUGGACAUUUGGGCCUUGCAUUAAAGCGUUUGAACAUUGCAAACCAAUAGUCCAGGUAGAUGGGACACAUUUGCAUGGAAAAUAUGAAGGGACUUUAUUGGUUGCAGUUGCACAAGAUGGCAAUAAAAGUCUAUUGCCAAUCGCUUUUGCAAUUGUUGAUGAUGAGACCGUAGAUGCAUGGUAUUUUUUUCUAUAUAACCUACGUAAGCAUGUAGUGAUGAAGGAUGGGGUUACCAUCAUUUCUGAUGACCACGAGUCAAUUAAAACAGCAAUAAAACGAUGCCAUGAUAUGUGGGCACCACCGAAAGCAUUUCACAUGUAUUGCAUUCGACACAUAGCUUCUAAUUUCUUGAGGAAAUUUGAGAAGCCCUACUUGCAUCGACUUGUUGUGAGCAUAGGGUAUUCAAGGACUGAGCGUGAAUAUAAUUACCACUACAAGCAAAUGCGUCAACAUGGCGAUGCAUAUAUCAAGUGGCUUGAUGAAAUUCCACGAGAAAAGUGGGUUCAAGCCUUUGAUGGUGGACACCGAUAUGGACAUAUGACGACGAAUCUUGUUGAAUGUAUAAGUUCUGUGUUAAAAGGGGUUCGUAAUCUUCCCAUUGCAGCCUUGGUUAGAGCAACAUACCUUCGGUUGUGUGAGUUGUUUGCUUCCAAAAGUAGAGAGGUAUAUGCCCGAAAAGAUACGGGAAACGUUUUCUCAGAAAUGCUCAUGACACGCCUACAAGAAAACCAGCUUGCAGCUGAAAGUGUACUUGUUACUACAUUUGUAAGUGAAAAUGAGAUAUUUUAUGUUCAAGAACCAUCAAGCAAGGAAGAACUAAAAGUUGAUUUAAGGCAUGGAUACUGUGACUGUGGUGAUUUUCAAACUGAUCGAUAUCCAUGCCCUCAUGUAAUUGCGUGCUGCUCCAAUCAAAACAUCAAUUGGGAAGUUUAUGUUAAUGAUAUUUAUAGGAUUGAUAAAGUUUGCAAGGUGUAUGAGAAAGAGUUUGAGGUGGUGGGGCAUCAAAAUACAUGGCCAGUAUAUAAUGGCCCAAGAAUUCAGCCGAACUCCUUGUCAAAGCGCAAUAUGAAAGGUCGGCCCAAAUCAACUAGUUUUCUAAACGAAAUGGAUGAGCGUGAAAUACACCAACUCAAGCGUCGCCGUCGUGAAGGACUUAGAGGCAAACGAGUUCGACGCAGAGUUAAGUCAAGUUUGCAGUUAUGACUUGGAAUGAGAGAACUAAGGAAACCGGCUUGAUUUCUUUACCUUGAGAACCAUGAUGGAUAAAUCUUGAUGCUUUACUUCCCAAAACCUUGGAAUGGUAUCACUGGCGAACUGAUUGUAUUACUUUGAUCUGGGAGAGAGGAGUUUCUCCAUGACGCCCACCUGCGCCACGGUCAUGACUCACCGUUAAGUCUUCACCCCAAUCUCGUUCUACUAGGAGGGUGCUAGCCUUGUAUUUCUAUGAUAAUGUUAAAAAUAAAAUAUGCAGAAGAUGAAAAAGGAUCAAAUUCUUCACCAAGAAUGUUUUGAACAACUAGAAUGUUGCUACAGAUCAGAAUCAUAGAAGGAUUAAACAACGAAAGAAAACCAGGAGCGAAAUAAUUCAACAAGUUAGACAUGUGACUCGGUGCUAAGUAAGGUGUAUGGUUCACAAGUUGAGCUAGAAGCAGCUUGAAGAAACUUUGGUGUUAAUUUGCCUUAAAGUAUGGUUUUCAUCCUAAUAUGAAUGUGAAAGAAACUCGAGAACAUUUGAAAGUGCAAAUGGAGUUUAUCGUGCUACUCAAAUCCAAUUUCUCUUUUGACUAAAUCUAGUAGUAAUGUUUCUUUAAUUUUAUGCUUUUCCUUUUUAUGUUUCAUUUUUAGGCCAACAUUAAUACUUUGACCUUGAGUGAACACCCAAUUCGAUCUCUCUUCAUUAUUUCGAAGGACAGGACGAAGUCUUCCCUAACAGAGAAAGACUCAUUUCAGUUCUAGUCCCUUAAUAACAUGAUUUUUCCGUCAUUUUUUACUGUUAAUUCGCAAUGAAAAUUGCUUAGGUGACAGGUUUAGGUGAUAAGU